This 303-nucleotide ribosomal RNA is filed under the name uncultured bacterium. Its description in RNAcentral is "partial 16S ribosomal RNA". It matches the Rfam family "Bacterial small subunit ribosomal RNA", at positions 507 to 807 of the family's 1533-position model. The record is from RNAcentral.
AGCAGUCGCCGCGGUAAUACAGAGGGUGCGAGCGUUAAUCGGAUUUACUGGGCGCAAAGCGUGCGUAGGCGGCUUCUUAAGUCGGAUGUGAAAUCCCUGAGCUUAACUUAGGAAUUGCAUUCGAUACUGGGAAGCUAGAGUAUGGGAGAGGAUGGUAGAAUUCCAGGUGUAGCGGUGAAAUGCGUAGAGAUCUGGAGGAAUACCGAUGGCGAAGGCAGCCAUCUGGCCUAAUACUGACGCUGAGGUACGAAAGCAUGGGGAGCAAACAGGAUUAGAUACCCGAGUAGUCCCUGUCUCUUAUAC